Molecule: long non-coding RNA, 1150 nt
Organism: Cyprinus carpio (common carp)
Lineage: Eukaryota; Metazoa; Chordata; Actinopteri; Cypriniformes; Cyprinidae
Source: Ensembl
AGUGAAUGGGUGCCAUCUGAAUGAGAGUUCAGACAGCUGAUAAAAACAUCACAGUAAUCCACAAGUAAUCCACACCUCUCCAGUCCAUCAGUUAAUGCCUUGUGAAGCAAAAAGCCACAUGAUUGUAAUAAAUACACAGUUAAGACAAUUUUAACUUUAAACCAUUGCUUCUAGCUAAAAUUCAUGUCUAUAAUCCAUAUUGACACUUUCUCUUGUGAAAAAGUCUGAAUCAGGAGAGAAAUAUGCACAGAUCAAGCACCGUUUACAAGCAAAAACAGUCCAAAACUGUUCUAACCCAAUAUGUCAGUGGAUUUUGAUGUGAGAGGACAACAGGGGAUGGACUUUUCACUGAAAGAAGUAUUAUUAUGGAUUGUGGACUUUUGUCUAUUUUUGCCAGAAUUGACAGUUUAAAGUUAAAACACCUCAAUGAUAGACUUGUUUGUUACAAACAUGCAGCUUUUCACGUCAGAAGAUGUUAACUGAUGGAUAAUAGAUUAUUUUAAUGUUUUAUCAGCUGUUUUGGACUCCAGCGGCACCCAUUCACUGCAGAGGAUCCACUGCCAAGGAGCCCUAUAAUUUCAUGGCGUGUUAGGACAUCGGCAGGAGACGUCUCUGGCGGGUGUUUGGCUGGAGGGCCUCGGAGCCUGAUAUCACACGCUGAAUGAUAACUCUCAGAGAACCGCUUGCCUCUGCUCCAAAAAAAAAAAAAAAAACUCCUGCUGAUCACACGCUGCUGCCCCAGCAAAGGGAAUAGCCUGGAACAAGAGAGAUAAAAGAGAUCCUUCCUGGAGCCGCAUGGAGCACCUCUCAUCUUCAGGUGUGACACAGUGUCGCCCACUUUGCCCCAGGCCCCUAAUCUCACCCCAAAUCCCACCACCACGGUAAGCGGCAUCGCCAUCUGUCUCUAUGGUAACCUGAGAGAGUCCCGUGAGAGGGGUGACGGAUGCCUGGCACACGCACACAUUGCCAACUCACCAGCAUGGCACGCAGCGACCUGCCAUAUGGUGCCACCCCAUAUAUCUAGCGACAGAAGCAGAGGAAGACCUGCAUGUCCAUCCAUGCUGAUAUAGCUCUGGAAUUACGACAGCAGUGUGAACGACUAGUUGCCGCAAUAUGGCUCUAAAAGAUUCAUUAGCGCACUAGGCUUUCC